AUACAUCGCGCCCAAGCAAACCCCAUUCCACGGGCCGGAUUCCCCACCACUUACCCACCCCAAACCCUAGGUUUCCCAUGGUGCAAGCCGCACCCAGCUCCGCCACCGCCGCCCCCGCCCCCGACGCUGACCCCGCCACCCCGCCGUCCCGUCUCCUCUCGAAACAUCGCCCGCGACGCCGUGCAGCGCCCCCCCGCCCGACCUUGCCGCACCCCGCGCCCACGCGCGGCCUGCCCGAUCUGAACCGCUGCCACUGCUGCUCCGUUCGCUUCCAGCAGCCGGCGCCGGGCGCCAAGCGACGUCCACUCCGUCCCCUCCGCUCCCUCUGGCGCGUCGUCCUCCUCUGCUCUGAAUGUAUCUCCCUCCUUCGCUCUGGCGCCGUCUGCUCCUACUGCCUCAACCUCGACAACCUGCCGCACGAUGACUCGGUCACCUGCCGCAGCUGCAACUGCUGCGUCCACCACCACUGCAUCCCCGCUGAGCACCGUACUGCCCUGAUCCAGCCUGUAGAUUUGGAGAAUUUCGUCUGCAUCGAUUGCUGCCCCACAGUGAAGGUGGGUAGCAAGAAUGAGGGCGCCGAAUCCGUUCCUAAGCUGGAGUUGGUCAUCAGAGAGCCUAGUCCUGCAUUGCGGAGGAAGGGGGGGCCUGUCGCUGCUGCUAAGUUGAAUUCGCCGAGGAAGGUUGUGGAGGAGGUGAGGCCAGCUUGGAAGGAUGCGAUGGCCCUCGUUCCUGUAGGCGAGGGGUCAGAGAGCGAGGGUCCCGGCGAUCGGGACCUGCCAGACGAGGCAUUGGCGCUGCAGCUUCAUUUGGCGAUCAACGGGUCACUGAGGAUUUCACGUUCUGGCAGUGCAUCUGUGUCUGUCUUGGCAGGGCAGUGCAAGAGGCAGGCCAAGAGGCAGAAUGGAUUGGUUUACGGAAGGAAGGUUAAUGAGGAUCUGGGACUUUGUGUAACCAAUAUGAUGGAUCAUCUGGACUAUCUUGAGACCGGAGCAGAGAUGGGAAGCAACUGGAAUGCUAGUCAGGAUUUAGGAUCUGAUCCCACAGUCCCUGUGGUUCUUGCACUGGAGUGUAAAGGUAAACACCCUCAGGAGAGUCCGAGAGGUGAAAGGAAAGGUCUUCCUGAGACUAAACAACAUAAUAGUUUGGUGGAUUGGCAUAAGGUGGAUCGGUAUGAGAAGAAGUAUAGCAAGAGGAAGUCAAGUAAGCAGACAGAUGCUGAAAGCACUGGAAACAAGACCUUGCCCAAUGGAAAGGACAUGGAUGUUGGUGAAGGUGGUGAGGGCAUAACUCCUAUGACAUAGACUGCUGCUUCUUUUUGGAGGUAAUUCGUGAUAACAGUAGUUUGCAUCCAGCAAUACAGGAUUGAAGCUAGCAACAUGUUGGUGGCUUUGAUAGCAGCUACAAUCAAAGUUAUAGCUCGUCGCCAUGUCUUCUUCCUGCAACUCAGCUUGUCACCGCCAUUUCCAAUCCUAGAUUGGCAAAUAGUCGUGGUCAAGGAAAGGGCUGCCACCACAGCCAGGCGUUUCACAAAUCCAAAGGCAGCACACGGUGAGAAGAUGACCUGGUAUCAUCAAAGGUGUGAGGACGUUGACGGGGUUUGGACUUGCAGAGGAUGGCAUUACAGUGGAUGCAGAUAAGAUGAUAAAAGGGCAAGCACAAAGCAAUCAGUGCCAUCAGGAAUUGCUAGCCGUUGCCUCAUUUGCUGUGACUGCAGUCUGUAGGUCUGGCCUAUAAUUUUUCUUGUCUGCAAUUUUAGGAACCUCCUACUCAUCUGGAUAAGAGGGCCAUCAAAAUCACGAUAUACAUAUCUGUGUGGUGAAUUUGAAAUUGUGUGUCUUACCAGCAGCACCGCCUGGACCUUUUAUAUCCGUCCAGGUUCAGAACUGGACAUGAGGUUCAUCCAAACGUUUGAGAACUGCAGGAGGUUAAUUAAAAUGGUUUUUGCAAAAAAGUUAACUGGUGGCGAGCAUAAUAAAAAAUGCUGAAAUGCAAAGUCUUGUUUGGCACAUAAGACGGCUAUCCAGAUUCCAGAGGCAAUAUUACUGCAUGAUGAUUUGAUUUGUUUCCCAAUCUUCAGACAUUGAGUUAGUGCAAACAUAUCGGAAAUUACACUAAUCUCAUUUUGUGAUUCUGAUACCGGACGAGGAACUCAGUUUGGACUAAUCUCACUUAUUUCCGCAUUGAUGGAUUUUCAGUUUUCCAAUAAUGUGAGCAAAUCAGGAUAGGCUAGUUCACUUCAGAAUGCUGGGAAAUAUUAGCAACCUGCUAUUACCAUCUACAGUAAUAGGCUAAUUAUGGGUCACUUGCUGUAAGCAUGUGUAAUUGGUGCCUGAACUCCUUUGAAGUGCUUCUAGCUUGUUCCUUUAAUUCUUCUUUUUUUGC
This 2382-nucleotide ribosomal RNA is filed under the name Triticum aestivum (bread wheat). Its description in RNAcentral is "partial small subunit ribosomal RNA". The record is from RNAcentral. Lineage: Eukaryota; Viridiplantae; Streptophyta; Magnoliopsida; Poales; Poaceae.